Molecule: ribosomal RNA, 253 nt
Filed under: uncultured bacterium
Lineage: Bacteria
Description: partial 16S ribosomal RNA
Rfam family: Bacterial small subunit ribosomal RNA
Source: RNAcentral
UACAGGGGGCUCAAGCGUUAAUCGGAAUCACUGGGCUUAAAGGGUGCGCAGGCGGAUGCGCAAGCGUCUCGUGAAAUCCCUCGGCUCAACCGGGGAAUUGCGGGGCGAACUGCGUGUCUUGAGGCAGAUAGAGGCCGUCGGAACGCUAGGUGGAGCGGUGAAAUGCGUAGAGAUCUAGCGGAACGCCAAAGGUGAAGACAGGCGGCUGGGUCUGUCCUGACGCUCAGGCACGAAAGCGUGGGGAGCAAACGGG